This 23-nucleotide unclassified non-coding RNA is filed under the name Mus musculus (house mouse). Its description in RNAcentral is "oocyte_clustered_small_RNA1212". The record is from RNAcentral. Lineage: Eukaryota; Metazoa; Chordata; Mammalia; Rodentia; Muridae.
UCAAAGAUAAGUGACCAUAGGAG